RNAcentral lists this ribosomal RNA (386 nucleotides) under Paramuricea clavata. RNAcentral's name for it is "SSU rRNA". It matches the Rfam family "Eukaryotic small subunit ribosomal RNA", at positions 1454 to 1831 of the family's 1831-position model. The record is from RNAcentral. Lineage: Eukaryota; Metazoa; Cnidaria; Anthozoa; Malacalcyonacea; Plexauridae.
UAACAGGUCUGUGAUGCCCUUAGAUGCCCUGGGCCGCACGCGCUACACUGACGAUGGCAACGAGUCGCUCCUUCACCGAAAGGUGUGGGUAAUCUUGUGAAUCAUCGUCGUGCUGGGGAUAGAUCAUUGUAAUUCUUGAUCUUGAACGAGGAAUUCCUAGUAAGCGCGAGUCAUCAGCUCGCGUUGAUUACGUCCCUGCCCUUUGUACACACCGCCCGUCGCUACUACCGAUUGAAUGGUUUAGUGAGGCCUCCGGAUUGGCACUGUCAGAUGGGCUUCGGCUCAUCCGACGGACGUCAAAAAGUUGGUCAAACUUGAUCAUUUAGAGGAAGUAAAAGUCGUAACAAGGUUUCCGUAGGUGAACCUGCGGAAGGAUCAUCAUCGUU